UCGGGAAUUUUGGGCAAUGGGCGAAAGCCUGACCCAGCAACGCCGCGUGAAGGAUGAAGUAUUUCGGUAUGUAAACUUCGAAAGAAUAGGAAGAAUAAAUGACGGUACUAUUUAUAAGGUCCGGCUAACUACGUGCCAGCAGCCGCGGUAAUACGUAGGGACCAAGCGUUGUUCGGAUUUACUGGGCGUAAAGGGCGCGUAGGCGGUGUGUCAAGUCAGUUGUGAAAUCUCCGAGCUUAACUCGGAACGGUCAACUGAUACUGUCACACUAGAGUACAGAAGGGGCAAUCGGAAUUCUUGGUGUAGCGGUGAAAUGCGUAGAUAUCAAGAGGAACACCUGAGGCGAAAGGCGGGUUGCUGGGCUGAUACUGACGCUGAGGCGCGAAAGCUAGGGUAGCAAACGGGAUUAGAUACCCCAGUAGUCCCUGAGCGGGCUGGCAAGGCGCAU
RNAcentral lists this ribosomal RNA (448 nucleotides) under uncultured bacterium. RNAcentral describes it as "bacterial SSU rRNA". It matches the Rfam family "Bacterial small subunit ribosomal RNA", at positions 355 to 825 of the family's 1533-position model. The record is from RNAcentral.